This 223-nucleotide long non-coding RNA is filed under the name Homo sapiens (human). RNAcentral describes it as "HSALNT0374073". Lineage: Eukaryota; Metazoa; Chordata; Mammalia; Primates; Hominidae. The record is from RNAcentral.
CUGUCACCAUCCACAUAAGAUGUGACUUGUCCCUCCUUGCCUUCUGCCAUGAUUGUGAGGACUCCCCAGCCAUGUGGAACUGUAACCACCGAUCAGAUCAAGAAACAGAACACCCAGAAGCUUUUUUCCUCAUCCUUCCAGUAACUUCUCCACCUCAACCAGGAGUAAACACCAUCUUGACUUCCUACAUUACAGAUUAGUUUUGCCUGAUUUUGAACCUGAA